This 254-nucleotide ribosomal RNA is filed under the name uncultured bacterium. RNAcentral's name for it is "partial 16S ribosomal RNA". It matches the Rfam family "Bacterial small subunit ribosomal RNA", at positions 524 to 776 of the family's 1533-position model. The record is from RNAcentral.
UACGUAGGGAGCAAGCGUUGUUCGGAUUUACUGGGCGUAAAGGGCGCGUAGGCGGCGCGGUAAGUCACUUGUGAAAUCUCUGAGCUUAACUCAGAACGGCCAAGUGAUACUGCAGUGCUAGAGUGCAGAAAGGGCAAUCGGAAUUCUUGGUGUAGCGGUGAAAUACGUAGAUAUCAAGAGGAACACCUGAGGCGAAGGCGGGUUGCUAGGCUGACACUGACGCUGAGUGCGCGAAAGCCAGGGGAGCAAACGGG